GGCUCUGUGGCGCAAAGGUAGUGCAUCUGACUCCAGAUCAGAAGGAUGUCCGUUCGAAUCGGGCCGGGGUCA
Molecule: non-coding RNA, 72 nt
Organism: Perkinsus marinus ATCC 50983
Lineage: Eukaryota; Perkinsozoa; Perkinsida; Perkinsidae
Source: Rfam